AACGAACGCUGGCGGCAUGCCUAACACAUGCAAGUCGAACGAGACCUUCGGGUCUAGUGGCGCACGGGUGCGUAACGCGUCGGAACCUGCCCUUAGGUUCGGAAUAACUCCCCGAAAGGGGUGCUAAUACCGGAUAAUGUCCUCGAACCAAAGAUUCAUCGCCUUUGGAUGGGCCCGCGUUGGAUUAGCUAGUUGGUAGGGUAAAAGCCUACCAAGGCGACGAUCCAUAGCUGGUCUGAGAGGAUGAUCAGCCACACUGGGACUGAGACACGGCCCAGACUCCUACGGGAGGCAGCAGUGGGGAAUAUUGGACAAUGGGCGAAAGCCUGAUCCAGCAAUGCCGCGUGAGUGAUGAAGGCCUUAGGGUUGUAAAGCUCUUUUACCCGGGAUGAUAAUGACAGUACCGGGAGAAUAAGCUCCGGCUAACUCCGUG
Molecule: ribosomal RNA, 433 nt
Filed under: uncultured bacterium
Lineage: Bacteria
Description: partial 16S ribosomal RNA
Rfam family: Bacterial small subunit ribosomal RNA
Source: RNAcentral